GACGAACGCUGGCGGCGUGCUUAACACAUGCAAGUCGAACGGAAAGGCCCUGCUUUUGUGGGGUGCUCGAGUGGCGAACGGGUGAGUAACACGUGAGUAACCUGCCCUUGACUUUGGUAUAACUUCAGGAAACUGGGGCUAAUACCGUAUAGGAGCUCCUGCUGCAUGGUGGGGGUUGGAAAUUUUCGGCGGUUGGGGAUGGACUCGCGGCUUAUCAGCUUGUUGGUGGGGUAGUGGCUUACCAAGGCUUUGACGGGUAGCCGGACUGAGAGGGUGACCGGCGACAUUGGGACUGAGAUACGGCCCAGACUCCUACGGGAGGCAGAAGUGGGGAAUAUUGCACAAUGGGCGGAAGCCUGAUGCAGAAACGCCGCGUGCGGGAUGACGGCCUUCGGGUUGUAAAACGCUUUCGCCUGUGACGAAGCGUGAGUGACGGUAAUGGGUAAAGAAGCACCGGCUAACUACGUG
This 468-nucleotide ribosomal RNA is filed under the name uncultured bacterium. Its description in RNAcentral is "partial 16S ribosomal RNA". It matches the Rfam family "Bacterial small subunit ribosomal RNA", at positions 28 to 507 of the family's 1533-position model. The record is from RNAcentral.